CAGCACCUCAAGUGGUCAGGAUGAUUAUUGGGCCUAAAGCGUCCGUAGCCGGUUUAAUCAGUCUUUUGUGAAAUCGUUGGGCUUAACUUAACGUUGUGCAAGAGAUACUGUUAAACUUGAAACCGGGAGGAGUCAGAGGUAUUCUGGGGGGAGCGGUAAAAUGCUAUAAUCCCCGGAGGACCGCCUGUGGCGAAAGCGUCUGACUAGAACGGCUUUGACGGUGAGGGACGAAAGCCAGGGGAGCGAACCGGAUUAGAUACCCGAGUAGUCC
This 271-nucleotide ribosomal RNA is filed under the name uncultured archaeon. RNAcentral's name for it is "partial 16S ribosomal RNA". It matches the Rfam family "Archaeal small subunit ribosomal RNA", at positions 477 to 747 of the family's 1478-position model. The record is from RNAcentral.